Molecule: non-coding RNA, 321 nt
Organism: Felis catus (domestic cat)
Lineage: Eukaryota; Metazoa; Chordata; Mammalia; Carnivora; Felidae
Rfam family: 7SK RNA
About the family: 7SK was discovered as an abundant small nuclear RNA in the mid-70s but a possible function has only recently been suggested. Two independent studies have found that 7SK RNA binds the CDK9/cyclin T complex (known as elongation factor P-TEFb). P-TEFb activates transcription by phosphorylating the C-terminal domain of RNA polymerase II.
Source: Rfam
AGAUGUGAGGGUGAUCUGGCUGCGACAUCUGUCACCCCAUUGAUCGCCAGGGUUGAUUCAGCUGAUCCAUCUGGCUAGGUGGGUGUCCCCUUCUUCCCUCACCACUCCAUGUGCAUCCCUCCUGAAGCUACACGCUCGGUCAAAGAGGAAAACCUUCCCAGAUAGAGGAGAACCGUUCUUCAGUGAAGGGUACAUGAAUAGCUGUGCUCCCCUGCUAGAACCUCCAAACAAGCUCAUAUUCUUGAGAUCUUAUUCAGCAGCACUCACCUAUCCUUCAUGUCUCACCCAGGGUAGUACUUUCAGAGUAUUCUGCAUGUGCCU